RNAcentral lists this ribosomal RNA (424 nucleotides) under uncultured Planctomyces sp. Its description in RNAcentral is "bacterial SSU rRNA". It matches the Rfam family "Bacterial small subunit ribosomal RNA", at positions 355 to 774 of the family's 1533-position model. The record is from RNAcentral. Lineage: Bacteria; Pseudomonadati; Planctomycetota; Planctomycetia; Planctomycetales; Planctomycetaceae.
UCGAGAAUCUUCGGCAAUGGGCGCAAGCCUGACCGAGCGACGCCGCGUGCGGGAUGAAGGUCUUCGGAUUGUAAACCGCUGUCGGAGGGGAUGAAAUGUAGGUGGGUACUCCCAUCUAUUUGACAGAGCCUCGGAGGAAGCACGGGCUAAGUUCGUGCCAGCAGCCGCGGUAAUACGAACUGUGCGAACGUUAUUCGGAAUCACUGGGCUUAAAGGGUGCGUAGGCGGCGGCUCAAGUCAGGUGUGAAAUCCCCCGGCUCAACCGGGGAACAGCGCUUGAAACUGGGUGGCUCGAGUGAGGCAGGGGUGUAUGGAACUUCCGGUGGAGCGGUGAAAUGUGUAGAUAUCGGAAGGAACGCCGGCGGCGAAAGCGGUACACUGGGCCUUGUCUGACGCUGAGGCACGAAAGCUAGGGGAGUGAACG